GAUGAACGCUGGCGGCGUGCUUAACACAUGCAAGUCGAACGGCAAGAUGAAGCCUAGCGAUUCUUGUUAGUGGCGGACGGGUGAGUAACGCGUGGGUAACCUGCCUCACACUGGGGGAUAACAGUUGAAAUGACUGCUAAUACCGCAUAAGCGCACGGGAUUGCAUGAUCCUGUGUGAAAAACUCCGGUGGUGUGAGAUGGACCCGCGUCUGAUUAGCUAGUUGGUGGGGUAACGGCCUACCAAGGCGACGAUCAGUAGCCGGCCUGAGAGGGUGACCGGCCACAUUGGGACUGAGACACGGCCCAAACUCCUACGGGAGGCAGCAGUGGGGAAUAUUGCACAAUGGGGGAAACCCUGAUGCAGCAACGCCGCGUGAGUGAAGAAGUAUUUCGGUAUGUAAAGCUCUAUCAGCAGGGAAGAAAAUGACGGUACCUGACUAAGAAGCUCCGGCUAAAUACGUG
This 462-nucleotide ribosomal RNA is filed under the name uncultured bacterium. RNAcentral describes it as "bacterial SSU rRNA". It matches the Rfam family "Bacterial small subunit ribosomal RNA", at positions 28 to 507 of the family's 1533-position model. The record is from RNAcentral.